Molecule: transfer RNA, 78 nt
Filed under: Galerina marginata CBS 339.88
Lineage: Eukaryota; Fungi; Basidiomycota; Agaricomycetes; Agaricales; Galerinaceae
Description: tRNA-Leu (TAA) (tRNA-Leu-TAA-2-1)
Rfam family: tRNA
About the family: Transfer RNA (tRNA) molecules are approximately 80 nucleotides in length. Their secondary structure includes four short double-helical elements and three loops (D, anti-codon, and T loops). Further hydrogen bonds mediate the characteristic L-shaped molecular structure. tRNAs have two regions of fundamental functional importance: the anti-codon, which is responsible for specific mRNA codon recognition, and the 3' end, to which the tRNAs corresponding amino acid is attached (by aminoacyl-tRNA synthetases). tRNAs cope with the degeneracy of the genetic code in two manners: having more than one tRNA (with a specific anti-codon) for a particular amino acid; and 'wobble' base-pairing, i.e. permitting non-standard base-pairing at the 3rd anti-codon position.
Source: RNAcentral
GGCAAGAUGGCCGAGUGGUUAAGGCGUGUGACUUAAGAUGACAGAGAUGUCUCGUGGGUUCGAACCCCACUCUUGCCA